This 2350-nucleotide long non-coding RNA is filed under the name Coffea arabica (coffee). RNAcentral describes it as "long non-coding RNA (CARA_LNC000559)". The record is from RNAcentral. Lineage: Eukaryota; Viridiplantae; Streptophyta; Magnoliopsida; Gentianales; Rubiaceae.
CUCACACCUCGCUCGUACCCCUGAAAGGAAAACAAAUGGAGUGGAAUGAGCUAAAAGCCCAGUGAGGUUCCAAAUAGCAAAUUGACCAUUAUUUAUAAGUACGAGUUUUCGAUAUAGCAAAGUAACGAGCAUAAAGUGUUCAUAAAUGUGAACAGUAACACGUCAAGUAGAAAUCUUAAAAUGGGCGAAUGUAAAAAUUUUUCAAAAGAAACAAUAAUCCAAUAAACAAUAAUCACUCCAAAGUAUAAGGAUACGGAUGACUCUCAGGAGCCAAAUUCCCAUGGCAUUACCAGAAGCUUGAUCCCGUAGUAGUUGACACUCCGUCAACUUUCAAGUAAGUAACCAAUCCAGUAGAACACCACUUACACGACUCUCCGUCCACCGUUCAACCCCCAGCUGGGCCCAAAAUCCUCAAGAACACGGGUGGUAAUACUCGAGUAUACCGAUUAGCCGAGGAGAUAUCACUCCACUCGACGAUACAAGAGACCCAGGGUUCGUUACCCAAUCGACCAAGCCCUUGCCGGCUCGACUAGAGUAACUCGCCACAGGGUUUCUGGAAUUCCAGGAAGUGCGCGCAUCAUAAACAAGUAUAUCAAGUCAAUUGCAACAAUAAACAAGUAUAUCACGUAAGGGCAAGUGCGAUAAAGUACACACUUGCCCUUACAAUUCACGUAUAUAACAUGUAAUCAGAUUGGUCACGUAUCAAGUUCAAGUAUCAAGUUCAAUUCGGUAUUUGAAAGCACUCACCCAAAAGAUAUAGUGCUACUGGUCACUUUCAGGUUAUACUCCGAGUUCGGAGUCCAAAUCUGCGAUAAAACUCAAUUUGAGAACUUUGAAACAUGACUAGAGUUCGAAACUUAAACGUUUCGUUCAAUAAGAAUCAAGAAUUGAAAUUCACUUAGAGAAUACUCGUGAGAUACUCGCUCACUUUUUAAAUGAUAAAACUUUGUAACAUUUAUACUUGAAAUGGUCAUGCGAGUCGAAAGUACAAGGGAAAACGUACUUUGAGCAAUCAUUAUUUCAUUUCUCAAGGGUACAAGUUCGGUCAAGUCCUUACUUAUACCUCGAACAAGAAGACUCAAGUACCCUAGAUGGUUCAAGUACUAUUCAUAUCAACUCGACCCAAGUCGCAAGUGUAUUUAUAUAGUCCUCGAGCGUAAAUUUGGGCAGCAUGCCCUUUGUGUUUACCUAAUUUUCCAGCCAUUUAGGCUUCAUUAUUUUUCUUCAACACCACCCAACAUCACACAUAAAAACAAUUCAAGCCAAGAGCCGUUCCAUAGGCUCACAAUAUCAUAAUAAUAAGAUUCACAACGAUAGCAAGUGUAGAAAUUCAAUCUAGCACAAAACAGAUUUGAUGUAUGAAAGCGGAAAUAACUUAUCCGAAGCUACACUUAUCGGAUUAAGGCAAAACCUAUGCUGUUUCGAAGCUAAGAUACAGAGCUACAACAUUCAUGAAGGUCACUUAGUCCAUUUCCUAAUGUAACUUAGUCAAAUUCUCAAAUUACUAAACCAGAAACCAAUUCGUCGGCUGUUUAAACGCAGAACACUAUAAUGGUCAUAACUCAGUGUACACAAGUCCAAAUCAUGUGUUCUUAGAGGCAUUUUAAAGCUACUUCAGAACACUACAACUUUCAUGUUUUGGCCCAGAGCUAAAUCAGAAUGGAUCCUGGUCAAAAAUCGUGAUAAACUGGACUGAACUGAAGAAACGGACUGCUGGGAAAUUCUUAAAACAGCAAGGGUAUUUUGGACUUUUCACGACCUCCGUUGCUCCGAUUGAGCUGAAAUUUUAUAGGCACCUAUAAAAUGCCAUUCUCUACAACUUUCCUUCUUUGACCAAAGGCCAAAUCGGCCUCUAAAAUAUAGAUACAAUUUCGGACAGAAUGCUUGGGAAAUUUUCCAGAAAUCUGGAAUUUUUAGCUCUAAGUGUAAUUUCCUCAAAUUUCUGGUUCUAAUCACCACUAAACAACCUUAUAUAACCUUAAUUGCAACAUUUACACAUCAUACAUCACAUUGAGCAGAAAAUCAGAACCCCUAGUUCAUCAAAUAAAUUGGGGAAAACCUCUAAAUCAUGCUAAUCAUCCAUGAUUCCACCACUAUAAUCAAACUACUAACUUAAUUUAACAAAAUCAAAAGCAAAACUUAGAGAGAUGAGUUCUCUUACCUUGGUUAGAAGUCUCUAAAAGCAGCCCCAAGCUUUCCUUUUCCAAACUUUCACCACCAAACACUAGCUAAUCACUCAAGGAGAAGAUUAAUCGGUUUAGAAUUUUUGUUUCUUACUUGGAUGGUGUAAAUCAAGAAGAAAAUGGUUGUUUCUUGCUCUCCCUUUUCUCUCUCUCUUGCUCGGCUGUGA